UGAAAUAGAAAACAUAAAAAAAUGCAUAAAUUAAUAUUCACUCGCUGGUUAAUCGGAGCUAGGGAUGAAAGAUUUUUUUCUUGCUUCCCUUUACACAAACUUCGGUAUGGAGAGAAUGAUAGAAAUUAGAACAAAAUUGAGAUCAAACUCUCAAGUUAUGCUUCGGUCAACGAUAUAAUCGCUCGCUGCGAAAACAACCACAGAUCAUUUCAAUCUGAUGUAUUUAAAUUUUUCCAACAUACUAUUUCAAUAAUAAAUGUGUCAAUCAUAUCUCAUACUAUUAUCUAACUAACCGCCAAUGGUUCUUAAAUUUGCAUUCACCAUCAAACUUUUGCCACAGCAUGAUUCUUUUACGAAGCAACAACAUUUCAAAAGCAUAACAUCAAUCAGCCCCCGGAAGCUGUCGUUGGCAACAAAAAUAAACUGUUUAUAACCAAAAACGGAACUAAACAGCUAGUAGCUACAGAGUAAAAUAGAACACAAAAAAGAGUACAAUCACGACACACAUGGUCAAGCGUGGCGAAAAACAUCAAACCAUUUUUCAUCCCACAUCGCAAAACGAGCGUUUCGAUAGUGAUGUAACAUCUCACCGGAUGCCAUUUUCAUCCUUUCCGCCAUCCUGGUUUAAUGGGGAACAAAUCCUUCUGGAUGGAUGAAAAAAGACAACAAAUAGUUCCGUCUUCCAUUGCCGUCCAUUUUCCGCUCACACAACAGGCUUUUGUGCACACAUCGAGUCGCUGCUUUUAAAACUUGGACAUCAAAGGCUGAAAAAGGAAGUUGGAAGUAAAAGCUUUACUACAGCAGCAUUCCUGCAAUAGAAACAGAGCCGAGACGUGGUACCGCCGAGACCAUGUCUAGUCAAAGUUCCGUUCUUCUGCAGCCAAUACAAGUGUGUUUGUGUACAGUCGAUAAAUCUUUGACAUCGAUUCUACCCGUAGCUUCGCUCACUUCCUCUGUCCCAAUCCACAGCCAGUUGGUAACUGUGCCACAAAACCCAGCAGAACUAACCGAUUACAGAAUGCAAACAGCGUUCAAAAUGGUAAACGAUCGGUAAUUUAUCAGUCAAAUCCGGACGGUACGAAAAUCGACAUGUUUGUUUUAUUAACUCUAGGGUCCUCUUUCACCGGUUCAGGUUUACACGUGCGGAAGUCAAGUUUUUGGGGGAGAAAAUGCAAACAUACCGCAAAUAAGAAACACACGGGUAAACCGGGAAUGGCAACCACGCACCACAGUAACGAGCGUAAGGAGUUGUUUGGGGAUGAAUUUUUUGUUUCUUUCGUUUGCAGCCAGGAUGAUAGAUUUUGGCUUGUGGCGCACAGUUUAACAUCAAUAUUGUACCCGGUUCCGGACGAGAUGUUGUGUCGCAGUAACGACGAACGGAUUCUCACACCAUGCGAAAGUUUUCGUUUGACGUGAAGCAAUAUUAAGCAGCAAAUGCGAUGGCUUUGUAGACGAUAGAAUAAACAUCAAAAACUUAAUCUAAUGCAUGCCAUAACCACUGCAGACGAGUGAUUUAUUAUAGUUUGCAAAAAAUGGGCCAGCCAGCCUCCUCCAGCAAGACAACUAAUGUAAAGCUCUUACUUCAACUUCUACGAGUUCUGAACUUUACUACAUUUAAUUCAAAUACCGAUUUAAUACUACACAAUAAAACAUAUCCUAUACCACAAUUGCAUAAUGAUAUGAAGAACACAAAUCCAAAUAAAUAAAUAAACCAAUGGUUACUUGACAUUAAUUGAAGUUGACUGUUACAUUGAUCUUUGUGUUCCAUUUUUUUAGCGACUUCAUCACUUAACUUAGUGAAAAUUAAUUUAGUCAAAUGACCCAUGAAAUCAACACGAUGGUGCAUUAGUCUUAACAUCACACCCGAUUACACCUGUUCAAACCCAAAGCAUUAUUCAACAAUUCCUCGGUUCAGCAAUCACAACCAUCGAACCAUUACAACAUAAAUUUUACUUUUUUUUAACAUCACUGACAUAAUAUUAAUCGAUUAGGGUGUUUCUAUUGCUUAAUGUAGAUCGAUUUUUUUUGAGGAUUGAUAAGAAAAGGAUUCCGAGAAGAAGGUACCAGAUAUAUGUUCUGAACAAUUAACGAAUUAAAAAUGAUUUUUUCAGCUUUGUUCCGCAUUUCAAUCGUUACCAAUUAAAAACCUUCACAACAUCAGCAUAAAAUUAUAGUAAUACAGGCGUCCUCCGAGUUACGACCCUCUCGAUAUGCGACGAUUCGCAGAUACGACGAUUUUGAUCCGGACAGUUGACAGUUGUUAUUUUGCCCAAAUUAACAGUAUUUUUUAAUUUUCAACGGUAACCGUUAAAAAAUCAUGGUCUUCACUGAUAAUAGAAACGAAGUUGUUGGAAUAAACUUAUACAUUCUCGAUAAAUAUUUUAAAGCAAUAUUGAAUAGAUAUUGGAAAGAUUAAUUACUAUACUACAACAUGUAUAAAACUGAGCGAAAUAAUUGAAUAAAACUUUCAACUCUCUACGUAUGGUUAUAAACAAUAUAUUCUCGACUUACGACGAUUUCGACUUACGCCUUGCUUCGGGCUGUUUUUUCGGUACCAAAUACAUGGGAUACGCCUGUACUAUAUGAAAAGGAUCAAUUGGAAUGAAGUAAAGAUCGUUGGAUCAAAGUUUGGCUCACGGACAAACAUCGCCAACAACAUUCGACACACAUUCAAGUACGACCCAGACAUUGAAUAUUCGACUCAUCCUUAAGUGGUCAUCGGUGCAAUUAACAAUGAAAAUCCACUUUAUCAAGAGCUCAAAAUUAUAUUAGAAUCAGGUGAGAUGCGUUAAACUUCAUGAGAGAUUUGUUCCUACCGCUACAUCCUUUGAAGAGUGUUCUUACCGACACAUUAUUGAGAGUUUCUAAUUAAUUCUUCUGCAAUGUCAAGAGUUGUUAAGGAAAUAAUUGUUAUGUGAAUACUAAGCAUAAUAAAUAUCCAAUGGAAGACAUUCAUAACAAAACAUAUUUUGAGAGGAAAAGUUAGGUUUUUGCGGGGUAAGCUGGUUACUGCUUAAUAAAAUAAAGAAGCACUUCAAAUCUGGAUAUGGAGCACUUCGUAGAUGGAAAACUUAUAGACACGAACCCUGAAGCAACAGUUAUCAAUAAGGAGUUAUCAGUGUCCAAUAUUCCAUACGUUAUCUUAUUGUAAAUGGAAUGUACCUACUAAAUGACACAACUUUCUAACAGCAAGUAUCAGCCUGGUCGCUGAAAUGUAUCAUCAGAUCAAACCCUUAUGGACAUUAUUGAAAACUGCAAUACCAUCUUCUAAAUAUACCUGCUGCUAACAAGAUAUGCAAACCGUACAAGCGCUGUUUGAACAAGAGCAAGAAUGAAGAUCGAUCGGGCUUACACGGUACGCAUUAGGCAUGCAUAAAGACACACGGAUAAACCUCGGUCGGUUCUCAACCGAUGCUCAACUAAGAAUCAACACAAUCUUGCGGACAACUGUGCCGGUACGGCUAAUUGCAAGAAACCGGACCAUAUAAUGUGUCAAAACCAUUAUUAAUCCCCUUUACAUCACCGUCGUAGCGGAAGGAAUCGAAGAGUAAAAUCCACCCCCGUAAGUGCUUGUAUCGCUCGAGUGCUGGUGGUGCUUAUCUGGUGGUUUUGGUACCGAACAGCAUAAUUUGUGAUUUAUGAUGGGCAGUAUGAGUAAUUGAAUGCGUUACUCAAAUUAAUGGUACCAGCAACCACAUGGCGAGUAUAGUAAAUUCCGAUUUGUGGUUAGAAUGGCAUUAUAAUCUCAUGCGGUUGUAAAAGUUUUCGCAAUUAGCUCAUUGUUUGCAUUUAUUUUCAUUUAAAUAUAUUUGCGACAUUAGCAUUACAAUAUCACAUCGAUAUUAUUACGUAUUUAAAUAUUUUUCAAAAAAUCUCAAAUAUCUCAAAAACACGGAUGCACCAAACAAAAUUAGGCCAACGACCACGUUCAAGGUCGUCAGGGGAAAGUAUCGCGCAUAAUAGCAAUAACAAAAAAUCCCCCAUGAAUCAUCGAAGUCACUGACCUAAAUUCUUUCGACAAAUACACAAAACACAAAAUGUCUCCUUCUACAUGCUCUUCUUCAUCUUGAGAAAAGGUACCAACACAUUCUUCUUUACGCAGGCGCGUGUACUUCGCACAUAGUUUACCUUUUUACACAACAUUACUUCAUCAUGGGCUCGUCCAAGUAAGAUAACGUGCACAUACCUUUUUUCUGUGCAAGCCCUUUACAUGCGGACUGGCUUAAGAAACCGCUAAGGUAGUAAAGGUACGUUUGUAUAGGUAAUCUCAGGCAAGUUCAUGGACAUGCGUGACCAUCAAGUGGCCAUGUAUAAGUGACUUUAUAUCGAAGAAUUGGAGGUGUACACGGUAUGACUCAUGUUUCGCUCUUUGUCUGCAGAGCAUUCACAAUGGCAGGAGAAACAUGUUUGCACAGUGCUUGAAAUAAUUUUAUAAUUUCUUGCAAAAAAAAUUCAAAAAAAUUAUUGCAAUACGAUUAUUUAGAAGAAUAUUUGUAAAAUCAUACAAUAUUUAGCAAUAGAUUAACUCCAUAAGAAUUCCAAUGAACAUUGCGAUAAACAUUCGUAAUGAUUGGUCGAAUACAUGUCGACUUUUGAGCUUUCAACCAUUCACUUUCAAGCCAUUCGAAAUGUAAAACAAAACUGUCUAACUUAGGCAGAAACUAAAAACUUGUAUUUAUUAAAUAACCUUAUUAAUAUUUUAUUACAAUUUUUAAAACACAAAAUCACUUCAAGGAAGAUUUUAAAUAUGCAUCACAAAACGUUCUCAACAUCGUAGUUUGCUUUCCGAUUGGUUUCAUAAGUUUCCAUUUAAUGCGGUAAACUUUAGCAUGCAUGGGACGUAUUAGCUUGUUUUGGAAUUUGUUUGUGUUUGGAAUUUCGUACAAGUUCUGUCGUACGACACUGGCUUCAACUACACCACCGACCGGCUACAGAAUUCGGGAUGAUAUUUCAUAUACAGCAACAUAAUGAGGUAUUACUUUAAAUGUUAAUCCGAUAGGAGAAAAGGAUUGCAAAACGGAGCAAAACAUACGCACCUCACUGUUGCUUAGCCGGUUUACACACUACGACAUCAAACUUCACACUUUGCUUGUGAGUGUGUGCCCUUUGCGCACCUGAGCUUACGAAGCAAAUCGCAAGCAGACCGUGCGGCAUUAUGUUGGAAGCAGUUAUUGGACAUGGAACAGAAGAACUGCGAUCGCGAGUUUGUGAACGUGAAUGACCGGUCAAAAUUGCUGACUGAGCCAACCAACCGAUGCAGUGGGUGCUGCGACCCUAGUGACGAAAUAGCAAGCAGGCCCGGCUGACAACGGGAGACCUCAAAAGUAUCACGCCACUACACGUCCUACACCAAUACCGUCGAAAGCUGAAAAGCGCAUUACUCAACAUGGCCUGGCCUGUUGUUGUAAAAGACCUGAUGAUGAUGAUGCGCUGCGAUCUUGGAGGACUACUGGAGAUCAUACUAAAUAUAUGGUGUUGCAUUUUUCAAAAGGCCGCUAUACAGCUUCUAUCCGAGCAACGAAUUGAUCAUGGAGGAGGCGGAGGAGAGGAAUCCAACAUCGCCGGAUUGUGCCUGCUGUGAAUAAAGUUGCAUCAGACUUCAAAAGCCUUCCAGGCUGAAUAAAAUGAACAAACCCGCACGAUAUUGAACACAGUAAAAAUAAUAUAUACGCGUAUGUUGUACUACGAGAGAAUGAUAAACGAUAAUGUAAUACAUUAAUUGAUUUUUAUGAAAUAAAACGAUAUGUAUAUCAAAUAAAUAAAAUACAAUAAUACGCAUUAGUUUGAUCUGGAAUCGCACGAUAAACAUGAUGACAAGAUUUUUUACUUGAACGAUAGAACACGCGAUCGAUACAGUCACUUAUUAUUAUCAAUCAUAAUCUUUUUUAUCUACAAAAAUACAGAUUAUCCAACAAUCUUUACCGGUGUGGGACGUUCCCAACAUUCACCAUAGGCACAUUUUGUUCUAUCACAACUCUUUUCCUGCAAAAUUUGUCUCGUUAUUAGCUAAAGUAAAUUUUUAUUAUAUGCAUUUCAUUUACAUUUUUGCGCAAGUUCUUUAACUAUGGGUAAAAAUUGAUCAAAAUAGUUAGACUCGUUUUUAAAAGGAAUCAAAACCUGUUUGUCGUAGGACACGUCAUGAACGUCGUGGCAAAACUAUCGACGAGACAGGUAAUGUACUCCUGAACUGUAUACGACUCGUUGUAACCAAAUGAGAGGGGAUAUGAUAGAAGUUAACUGGAUGAAACAUAAAAAACAUAAGCGGAAAGAGGAUUAGACACGUCAGAUAUACAAAAAAGUAUAGUUUUGCAUUGAAAACGUAUAGCACAAAGCAUAAACUCGAUGAUCGGAUGAUCUUUUCUUUAAACCCCAGACGAUCCGUUAUAAAUAUUUGGUUCGAUUUCGGUUACCGUCCGUAUGGAGUAUUAGGAAGUCAGUCUUGCAAAAAAUCUGAAGCCCUUUUCGCACCAUACGAAGUAUGUUAUGAAAUGGGUAUUCUAUAUCACUUUUAAAAUGUUUAAAAAAUGCAAAAUGUUUCGUAGAUUCAAAUGCAAAAGGUUUAGUAGAAAAAACUCCUAACAGCCAGUAAAUUUAGGUUCUGUUAUUAAAUCAGCUAAGCUUUCCUUUCUACUGACUGUCAUCUUAAGUGAUUUAAAUGCUCACUUAAACACAUAUGCAGCAUGCUUCAGUAAAGAUUUGAGGUCUUUUGUUGAACAAUUUAUUGGAACAAAUAACAAAUCAACAACAAAUUAUUUAUGAGAAAAAGAGGAAUUGGGAAUUAUAGUAAGGAAAUAUUCGAAAUUAUUUAAAACAAAUAUGUAGAAUGAAAAUUGGAACAAAAAUCCUCAAUCCUGUUAGCAAUUUUAUUUAGUUUAUAUCAUUAGCCCUGAAGUAAUCCUACAGCAAUUCCAAAGAGACUUUAUUUUAGCUUGAAAAUUUUGCAAUUGACAUGUACUCUCUUCACAUGAUGGAUUAAUUACUUUCAUAACACGUACGAAGGGAUAGCAUGGUGAAUCUAAUACAAACGAACUUCAAAGAUGGAAACAACCACCGUGAAAGGACAAAUUCGUUUUAAGCUUCUUAGUCGGUUAAUCCUCGCAUCGCAUCUUAUCUAGAACAUGAUUGCAAGUAAAUGGAAGCGGUGACACUUGAGGCGUUAGAUCUCAAACCAAGCCCACACCUAGGGUUUGCUUUCCGUUCACUACUUUCCACCGUACCAAGCGCUACAACGAAUGAUUCUAAUCGAAUAAAUUUGAAUAAAAUUAAUUAAACCCCGAACAUAAUCAUUGCGAAACAAUGGUCCUAAAAAUUACCACCAUUUCUCACGGAACCACCCCGCCAUUUCGGUAUCAUUCCCUUUCCAUCGUUCAACGCACUCGUGGAAAAGCAGGGCGAAAGUGAUGAUGAUGGUGAUGAUGACGAUGAUAGGAAAAUGCGCGUUCACAUUCGUACCUCGCGGAUGAAUUUUACUGUCGGUUCUAACGGAAGUAAAUACAGCCGAUUGCAAUAUAGGGGACCUCACACAUACACACAUAAAAGGAGUCCGGAACUGGCAGGAACGGUCGAUGCCUCGCAGACAAAGCGUUUGAGAGCACGGAUGAUGAUUAUGAUUAUGGGAUGCCGGGGUCGUCGUCCCCGGUGGACCAAGGGAUCAGCGGUACAGCCGGCACGUCGCGAUGUAUACUUUGCCCGUUUUCCCGUGCUCACUCCAUUUCCCGAAAAGGAAGUCCCUCGAGCGGGUUGAAUAAGAGAUAAAACUGAUGAUUAUGUCCUGACAGUGCCGUGACAGGGCUCACGGGAACCGGGGGCCCAGAUCAUCCGGCCGGCUCGUCUCGUUUGCUCGUUACUAAUGGUUGGAUGAUCAUCGCGUCCUGCACAUUCCGCAUUCGUUUUACACCCGGGACACAAACCCCCUAGCUGCAAAUCGACUGCUUUUGCGCUGACGUUGACCGCCGCGUGGGAUUAACGGGUUUAAAAUAUUCAUCACCGACUGCAUUCAUCGAAUCGGGAUAUGGUAAAAGGAUGUGCUCGAUGGCAAGGGUUUGGGCAUGCACUUUAAGCUAAAGAGAAACCAUUAGAUCUAUCUCCUGUGGGAGAAAAUAUUAAUGUGCAAAAACAAACAAAACAAAUCAUAACAAAGAGAAGCGGCUCAUUGUUGAGAAACACUGCAAUAUCUCAUGAAAUAAAUGUUAUUGUUUCACACACAACGUCCCUAAAAACAAUGUUAUUUGAUUUAUGUUUUGGGACACUAAAACCUAAACUGGAGUGAGAUUUCUGGGGUUCCUUCACCUUCAUUAACCCGUUGCAAGAUAGUCAGUUCUGCGUACGUGGAUACUGUCCUGUGGUGUAAAAUCGACGCCUCGAAGACACAUACCUAUGGGUUCAACAAAUAUUUCAUUUUACAAUUGAAUAAUAAAUGAUAGUGCAAUUGUAGAAACCACAUUUAUCAUUUAACUAUUCCUAUAUUUUUUUCCUCAACAACUAUUUGUUUAGAUAUUUGGAUUCUAGGAGAUAUUUUUUUAUGUUGAUUUUAGGUAAGAAAAUGGCAAUAGGCUUGAAGAAAUUCUAAUAACAGCUUCAAAAAUUUGUAUGAUAAACUAUUUCAAAUAGUAUUAAAUUUUGUGUAUUCUGGGGAUAAUAUGAUUACGAACGGAUACAAUUAUUAGCGAUGGUGAGUUUUUGUAACAUUGACAAAUAGAUUUUCCAGACGAAUACUUAACGAGAGAAACACCACAAAACUAGAAGUUGGGAAUAUUCUUCAAUCUCAAACAAAAUUACUCACACACUUAAAUGUGUAUGAUGCUGGGCAUGUAAAUUGUUCACUUAAACCAUUCAAAGAACAUAGCGAGGUAACCCAUCCGUUCUCUUCCGUUUACGCCCUUUUGCAUGGUGAAGGGUGAAUGGCCUCUGUUUUUGAAAAUGCACAAUAAAAGUGAUAGGGGAAUAUGUUUACCCGGAGGGAAAAUUAAACUCUACACCCCUUCCUAAGCCGUUCCGCUCGAUUGUUACGCCCGCAGGACAACAGACAAACACAAAUGUCCUCCGAAAAGUAGAAUAAUAUUCCACUAUCCAAUUCCAGCCUAAUUGAUUAGAACGCUGCACCCGGGUGGACCAAUUUGCGAGAGUAACUUGCUGGGGGAGAGACCAAAAAGGUGUUACUUCGUACAUUUAUGGGUUUGUCAUGUAGUGCCGGCCACUUUAUUCAACGCAAUUUCGACAGAUCGUUGUACAGUCGUGUUCGUCUCCUUUUUUUUCUCCACAAUGUGUUUGCCAUACUGCUGUUUUCCAUUAUCGUGAAAUGGUGUGUUGACAACAAGCCCCCGGAUUGUGAGGAUUGGAGAAACCUGGAAACAUGGUCAGCAAAACAAGGAGAAGCUAGUUUGUGCCACUGUUGAAAGUUUUUCCCCUGUGAACAAGUCGUCAGUUUGGAUGAUGGCUGAAGCAAGACAGAAACAGAAGUAACUUUUCUAGUUCCACCCAGAAUAAAAAACCCAAGCUGCAGCUGGCAAUUCUUUGACAUUUGAUUUUGCCUUUUACUUGCAUCCUCUUUCGCGGGUCGAGGUAGAAAACAUCAUAAACACCUUCAAAGUCUCGGUGGUGUGCUAACCAAAACGGAAUUACUCUAGCAAACUCGCUACACCGCAAGGACUUUCAUGAAGAGCUGCAAACCACUGAGCACCAGUACCAAUGUUCGCUCAAUCGCAUACCCAAGCAGGGGGACAAACUCUUUCAAAACGCGUUGCGUCGAUUCGCGGUGGGCAACAAACCGAACAAGGAUUAUCCUGAAAGCCAUGAUCAAAUGAAUAAUAGAAAGUACAUACAACAUACAAUCAUCAAAUAGUGACACCGUCGGGAUAUAAUGUGGACCCGUAUAUUGAAAAACAGAAGGGAUAAAAUAAAUAAAACACACAACUAUAGCCUAAGGUUUAGCAACUGUCGGAAAUAGACGCCUAAAGGCAAGUAAUGGGCUGAGAGAAUCAUUCUCCGAAUACCAUCUGUUCCAAUACGUGUUGCGGUCUUGAAAUGGUUGCUGCAAAGCGUAUUGGUUGACUAAUGUUCGAAUGUUCUUGGUCGGCAAGUUGGGUUGGUUUUUUACCCAAAAAAAUAAUCGCCUCAACGCUCUAUGUCGACACGAAUCAAGAAAAGAAACUUUUCAUGCGGAGGUGUAGCAAUUUUACAAUUACUUUAAUUACCCGUAUAUUUCCAGUUGUUGUUCAACUUGGAGGAAAUUUUAUAAAAUUUAAAAGCAAAACUCACGAUGUUGAAAUAACCUAUGAUUGUGUUUAAAAAAAAAUCAAUGUUAAUCCCUGAAUAAUCGUAGAAUUGGCGAUUAGCACUUGUAAUUACGUUAGGUUUAGGACAACAAUAUUUUCCUGUGAUAAAUAAGGUUUGUAUACACUGUGCAGUUAUUUACGAUAAAUUUUUCAGUAGUUUUUACAUUUUAUGUUAUGCCUUACAAAACAGAAAAAAAAUAAUACUACAAGAAGGGAUGUCAGAAAUUCGGGAGACACUACAUUUUAUUAUUCAACGAUCACUAUCAAAUAUAAUGCCCCGAGGCAACGACGGUUAAAGAUUUCCUCAGAACUCAAAAUCUCAGAAACUCACCAGUGGUUUUGAGUUAUUUGCGUUUUGAGGAUCCUUGAAUACCUUUAAUGAAUACAUUGAAUACAUUUGAUUGUUAAAAUAUUUAUUUACAUUCUCAAUCUUAAAACAAAAUUUGAUCAAAAAAACUUUCAAACAAAGAUAACAAUUACAUAAAAUACAUAGCAUUUGUCACACACUGUUUGUAGUCGCUGACGAAAAGAGAGGCAACAUGGCCGUCAUGACUGAUUGUUUUUGAGACCAUAUUUGAGGAAAACCUCAAAUGGCCAUGUGGAUUUUGGUUUUGAGACGGUUUUUGAGGGAUUUGAGUGAAGCUUUAGGAAAGUUUCAACUAUCGUGGGCACCCGGCUUAACAUUUCAAUUAGAGAAGUACAUCCUAAAACUAAAACCUGUUGUGUGUAAAGACCUCCAAAAAAAGAGCUAAAAAGUAAACAAUAUCGAACAAGAAACACAUUUAAAAAGUAAUUUAACAUAAUUCUUGUUUCAAACUUCCGUAAACUGUCAUAUUUAAAUAUAAAAUACACCUAUCGCUCAAACCAUUCGAAUGCGAUAAACUCAUUCAUGUUACGAAUCCAAAUUCCCCUAUAAUGUCGAAUGCAUUCGCUUUUCUCAUGACAGCCAUUUUCUCGGGAUACUUUUCCCGAGGUCACAAUAACAUACUAUGCGGAAGGCUACCGAACCGACGAACUGCCGGGGUUUUGUAGUUUGGUAUGGUUUGAUUGCCGGUUUGAUUGAUAUCUCCCGGUGCACGUGCAUUCUGAAUGGAAAAGAUGCUUUGCUAACCCCACCUAUUGAGGGACGGGAAUCAAUCGAACGUAACAUGAAAGGAUUGGAUAUGGAUCUCCGAUCUCUACUCCCUUUGCAUCUCGCAUCUACCACAUAUGGGUAUGCUCCCAUUGACCUCUGACCUAUUUUCCCGUAUUCUAAACGGACACCAAACACAAACCAGGUCUGCAUUUGGCGCGUGUGUGCAUCGAGUUGUGUGCAGAUUAUCCCACAUGCACAGACAGCGGUACAACGUGCGCAAUAUCCCUUCUACUCACACACGCACACGCACAGUGCGCAAUUGAAUUGUUGCAUAAUUUCAUUUCCAACUCGAAACCUCCGUACGGUGAAAUGCAAUUUGAGUGCUUUAUUCGUUUCAGCCAUGUGAUUAUCGGGACCGGGAUUGCGUUUCGCAUUGACAAGAAGGAUGCAAACCGCAUCGAGCUGCUUUCCUUACAGCACUCGACCCCGCCAGUCCAUCACGGAGUGCCUUCCAGCCAGACUAUGCUGGAACUGGCAAUGCAAUUAGAGAAAACCGCCCCGUUCAAAGAACAACAGACAUUCGGGGGUGAUGAUGAAAUGAAAUCGAGAACCAAGUCCGGUGCAUCGUUAUUUAUGUGUCGUCCCAACGGUGAGCUGAACCGAUGCAUGCUCUAUAUGGCCGUGAGUGUAUACGGCCGCAAAUUAAUGAUCGAAUGGAGGAUAUGCUGGCUGAAUAUGAUCCGGUCCAGGACAGGGCAGGUCAUUCGACAGAACGGCAGUGGCCAAGAACAACUCGUUAUUUGUGCGAGGAAAAACAUUAUCCAACAUCUGAAACGAUUAUGGUAAAUGCGUCCUAAUAGCGAUAUAGGUAACAUUAAGAAAUAAUAAUACCAGGUCUAACAAUCCGUAUCAUUUUCAUUCUAUAUCCAUGACUGAAUUGGGAAAAUUCUGUUAUAUAAAAUCUUUUUUGUGAAAAUAUUUUACGCUUCUAAUUUAACUCAAAAGAAUGUUUUUUUACUUUCAUACGAUUGUGUUGAACGGCAGCGGAAAGCCCAAAAACGCUAGUUUUAAUUAGUAAGCCGCUAACAUGAUUCCAAGAUCUCUAUUUAGCAGGUAAUUGGGUCAUCAUGUACGAUAAACCUUCGCCUCAUCCCCAUCGUCUAAUCGCACCCCCAAAAACCACUGUUGUUACGCAAUCAAUGAAAGGUACACCUUAGCACGGCCUCAACAAACUGGUAAGACUUAACUACGCGAAGAAAUUAUUUAUUCCUGGCAGGUUCAUACAUUUCACGCAUGAAAGCUGUCUCCAUUUCCCGCGCACCCAGCCACGGAUCCAUUUACUCCCGUAUAGUUGGUCGCGAACAGGGAGCCAAAACGUGGUCAAAAUCGAGGGCCCACCUUAGCUCCAACUGCUUGAUUAGCUCUUGCAGGCAGCUAAUUUAAUCAGAUCGCUCCAUCACCAGGCUAGUUCAACUAUCCUACGGUAGGGAACCGGUUCGACCUUUCUUAUAAACCUUCCAUCCGCCGUACUAUGAGAAAAUGAUGGAAGAGGAGCUUUUCGAACAGGCGGAUAUUUGAGCCCUAUUUUCUCCCCUCCGCUGGAAGUGAACCUUUGUUCCCGUGCGAAAUGAUACAUCGCACUACCAGCCACAUCCGGUCGGUUUUCCUGAGGUGGGGCAGCUUCCGAUAUCCGAUGCCUUCGGGCGUGCCUGAAACCCGAUUCGCCAGGAUCCAGCACCAACAGGCAGACAGGCAGGCAGGCAGCGUGUCAACAUUGACUAGUUGGAGCAAAAUUAAUGCCUGUAAUUACGGAAAAUUACCACAAGUAAUUAACAUCGCCGUGGAAAAAGGGAUGAAACUGGCACACAACACUCUGUAAGGCACGUGAGCAAGAACAAAACCAGUGACAAAGUUCGAAGAAAGAAAAAGGACAGCAAAACAGCAACCGGGACACAACAAAAAAAAAACAAUCGCCCAAUACAAGUGUAACGCACCCCGUGCCAAAGUCGUGCACCUAACCUUAGGCAUCUCAUUAUCUCCAACGAGUAGACGAGAUAGACUGGCGGUACCAUUUGCUGUGGUAAUAUUGAUUGAGCUUUCACCAUUAGAAUGAACUGGCGGAGGACCACGAGCCCGUUGUUUCCCCCACCGGUUUGAUCGACACGUACUGAUAUGCGAUCUGCUGUAAGGUGGUAGCCGCGGUAGUAGUGCAGAAUGUAUCGGAAAUGUAAUUAUUGACUUCCUGAAAGCACUGGCUCUAAUUGAUCUUGAGCGUGUAUCGCUGAUAACAUUUUAAUUUGUAGCUUAAUUGUGCGUCACAAGAAAUAAAACCAUAAAUGUAACAGAAACAUAGCUGAAACAAAGCUGUUGUGAAGCGACAUUGAAUGAAAGAAUUAUCGUAUCAAAAGUUUAACAAUCUGGAUGCAAAUCAUACUGACUUAUAAGCAGAGGCAAUAAGAAUUAGUUAUUAGUUAUUAGUUAAUAAUCUUGUAUGUUGAGUGACAGUGCCGUUUUGGAAAACUGAACAAAUUUCUUAUAUAUGAAUGUUCCUUUCCAAUUCUCACAUGCCCUUUGACAAUAUUAGUUAAAGAUAUAGACGCCUUCGCACAUUAUAAUUAAAAUAAACGGCGCGGAUAUUGACUGGAUUUGAAUUACAACACUUGCACGACUUUAAAAAAAGGUGGACUAAAUUUGAAGUGAGUACAUUUUUGGGGACAUUGCGUCGCAAUAAUCAAUUGUGACUAAUCCACUAAUCGAUGGAUAUGAAGAGCUUUCAUACACAUGUCCAAAAAGUUAUGACAUUGUCAUGUAUGUUUACCACAUGGUCUAGAGCAGGGGUCUCCAAACUACGACCCGCGAGGCCCUCCCGAGAUAUCCCGAGAUUGGCCCUCAGCUGUGGCUAUUCCACUCAAAGCGGCCCGUCAUUUAAAAAAAUUGGAGGCCCCUGGUCUAGGAGCGGUCUUUCAAGGUGAUAAGAAACUUUUUAUCAUUUUUUUUAUUCAGGUACGCCGUAUUGAUAACGUUUUCGCAAUUUUCUUAAAAUUAUAAACGUAGAUAAAGUACAGAGCCCCCUCGAGAUAGUAGCGUUCUUAGAUAAAAGAGUUUUGAUAAACGAAUAAUCACACACUACAUCACUGCCCAAUGUUCCCGGGGCGGGUCACAUAUGAGGCUCGUGAGCAGUUUCUAAAAGAGCAACCAAAAACAAAACAAUUUAAUAUUUGUUAACAAUUCAGAUCCAGAUAAAAGAGGAUUAAAUAAAACGAUUUCGUUUGUCAUAUCCGUUUGGGAACAUCAAAUUUGAAUAUAAUGCACAUAUAUAAAAUAUUUGUUGAUAUAGAGAUGUUUAAAGAGCUGGAACGGAUGAAUGGUUCUUCAUUGAAUUCGAAGGGAAAAAUUGUUUUGACUUAAGAGCAAUAUUAUAGAACGAAUUAAACUCGUAUCUCGAGGAACUGCUGUAUUGUUUUCGCCUAAAGUUAGAUUAUUUAGUAUCAUCGUUCCUAUGGUUGGCCCAAAUAAGCCAACGCUGUAUCAGACAAGACAAGAACAAUGCCAUACACCAUGCUCUAUAGAUAUCGACGAUAUCGAACAAAACUGACUGAUAUUGUGUAGAACGACUGUGUUCCAUCUUGAAAUGUACUUGAAAGGUGUACCAAACGCCUUGGCAAGCAGCAUAGAAGCGAUGUUUGAUAGAGAACCCUACGAACAUUGUCGUGUCUGUGAAGGAUGUUCGACGGUUGAUAGAGCGCUGCCUACGUGAAUCAACUCCUGAGCAAAACGGUUAGAGCACUGCUGUUAAAUUCGUCGUAGCUCGCGGUUCGGCAUGCAAUUAGAAAUAUUCUUACUCUUUUAAAAAUCUGCUAAAAAGCUGUUUUCUGAUUGAUUCAUCCAUCAGACGAAGCUCUCGAUGUUCCUUUGCGGACCGAAUUAAAAGAUCUCGCCUGUCACAUGCAGCUCGUUGGCUGUAUUAUUGCCUGCAUAUUGCCUCUCUGCAUUGUAUUAAUUAAUCAUUUCAUCCGUUACAAGAGAUAACUUUUUCUAACAUACAAUGAAACUAAUUUACGUAUUU
Molecule: long non-coding RNA, 15415 nt
Organism: Anopheles funestus (African malaria mosquito)
Lineage: Eukaryota; Metazoa; Arthropoda; Insecta; Diptera; Culicidae
Exons: 2
Source: RefSeq, a predicted model, not a curated record